AUUGAACGCUGGCGGCAGGCCUAACACAUGCAAGUCGAGCGGAUGACGGGAGCUUGCUCCUUGAUUCAGCGGCGGACGGGUGAGUAAUGCCUAGGAAUCUGCCUGGUAGUGGGGGACAACGCUUCGAAAGGAACGCUAAUACCGCAUACGUCCUACGGGAGAAAGCAGGGGACCUUCGGGCCUUGCGCUAUCAAAUGAGCCUAGGUCGGAUUAGCUUGUUGGUGAGGUAAUGGCUCACCAAGGCGACGAUCCGUAACUGGUCUGAGAGGAUGAGCAGUCACACUGGAACUGAGACACGGUCCAGACUCCUACGGGAGGCAGCAGUGGGGAAUAUUGGACAAUGGGCGAAAGCCUGAUCCAGCCAUGCCGCGUGUGUGAAGAAGGUCUUCGGAUUGUAAAGCACUUUAAGUUGGGAGGAAGGGUUGUAGAUUAAUACUCUGCAAUUUUGACGUUACCGACAGAAUAAGCACCGGCUAACUCUGUGCCAGCCGCCGCGGUAA
Molecule: ribosomal RNA, 500 nt
Filed under: uncultured bacterium
Lineage: Bacteria
Description: partial 16S ribosomal RNA
Rfam family: Bacterial small subunit ribosomal RNA
Source: RNAcentral